AGCUGGAAUCGCUAGUAAUCGCGGAUCAGCAUGCCGCGGUGAAUACGUUCCCGGGCCUUGUACACACCGCCCGUCACACCACGAGAGUUUGUAACACCCGAAGUCGGUGAGGUAACCUUUUAGGAGCCAGCCGCCGAAGGUGGGACAGAUGAUUGGGGUGAAGUCGUAACAAGGUAGCCGUAUCGGAAGGUGCGGCUGGAUCACCUCCUUUCUAAGGA
RNAcentral lists this ribosomal RNA (218 nucleotides) under Bacillus velezensis. Its description in RNAcentral is "partial 16S ribosomal RNA". It matches the Rfam family "Bacterial small subunit ribosomal RNA", at positions 1324 to 1533 of the family's 1533-position model. The record is from RNAcentral. Lineage: Bacteria; Bacillati; Bacillota; Bacilli; Caryophanales; Bacillaceae. RNAcentral also lists the same sequence under 1 other name.